GGGGGGGGGGGGGGGGGGGGGGGGGGCGGGGGGGGCGAGGGGGGGGGGGGCGUGGGGGGGGGGUGAGUGGCGGAGGGGGGAGUAGGAGGUGGGCAACCGGCGGGCGGCUGUGGGGUAAGGCGAGGAAAUGGGGGGCAAUAACGGAUGGGACCGCGGGCCGCAUGGUCGGGGGGUGGGAGGGGGUUGCGGCUGGGGAUGGGCCCGCGGCCUAGCAGCUUGUUGGUGGGGUAGGGGCCGACCACGGCGACGACGGGGAGCCGGCCUGAGAGGUUGACCGGCCACACUGGGACUGAGACACGGCCAAGACUCCUACGGGCGGCAGCAGUCGGGAAUAUUGCCCAAUGCUCGCAAGCCUGGCGCAGCGACGCCGGGUGGGGGAUGCCGGCCUUCGGGUUGUAAACCUCUUUCAGCAGGGACGAAGCGCAAGUGACGGUACCUGCAGAAGAAGCACCGGCCAACUACGUG
This 465-nucleotide ribosomal RNA is filed under the name uncultured bacterium. RNAcentral describes it as "partial 16S ribosomal RNA". The stretch from base 49 to 465 matches the Rfam family "Bacterial small subunit ribosomal RNA", at positions 39 to 507 of the family's 1533-position model. The record is from RNAcentral.